GGAACGGUGGCCGAGAGGCUUAAGGCGCAGGUUUGCUAAACCUGAGUAGGGGGUAAACUUCUACCGAGGGUUCGAAUCCCUCCCGUUCCGCCC
RNAcentral lists this transfer RNA (93 nucleotides) under Myxococcales bacterium FL481. RNAcentral describes it as "tRNA-Ser". It matches the Rfam family "tRNA". From Rfam's summary of the family: Transfer RNA (tRNA) molecules are approximately 80 nucleotides in length. The record is from RNAcentral. Lineage: Bacteria; Pseudomonadati; Myxococcota; Myxococcia; Myxococcales.